Molecule: long non-coding RNA, 1578 nt
Organism: Argiope bruennichi
Lineage: Eukaryota; Metazoa; Arthropoda; Arachnida; Araneae; Araneidae
Exons: 4
Source: RefSeq, a predicted model, not a curated record
GAGAGACGAAUCAUAAUUUCCAGGAAACAUUUAUUGAAAAACAUACACUAUCGAAUACAUAUCAACAUGACUAUCCGCCGAAUUGAAGCACAUGGUGAUAUGAGAUCAAUUUCUUUAUACAUGGGUGCCGAUGUAAUCGGCCACCUGAGAUUGGAGCCAGCCUUUGACAGCCGUGUCCGGAUGAGAUAUGCCCGUUUUAUCAUCUGUAGAGAACACAAACAUAUACAGGUCGCAACACCUGAAGGUUCUACUAAAGAAUCCCAUUGUGUAGAUGCUAUUUACUGGAACAAUGGCACAGCGUCAUGCCCUGUAUGCAAACGAUUGCUUAUUCGGCUCCAUGCGCGUUUGAACGAGGGUGGCAAUCGGUGUAUGUAUCUUUAACAUUCCACCUAAUCAACAUCGGUAUUCAUUGGUUGGAAAAGUUGCAUUGAUACAAUUUCCUGGAUAAAGCAAUAACACUUGACAACAGUAGAAAAACUGCUUUCUCUGUUCAGCAUAACUUGGAAUCGGUUAUGUUGGAACCUCGGAAAUACUUCCCCAAGAUGUUGGAUUAUUUUAAUAUAAAUGUUCUGUAAUUAUUUUCAAGUACCUACAUGACGUCAUUUUCAAAUCACUCUUUGUUCUUCUAGAAAAUUUCCUGCAGCCUGCAAAGAGAGGCAAACCAUCAUUGCCUGGAAAUAUUUAUUGAAAGAAAUGCAACAUGUUCAGCUAUAUCUCAACAUAAGAAUCCUCCGAAUUGAAGAACUUGGUAUUCUGAGACCAUUUUCUGAGCAUAAUGGCCGCAAUCUAAUCAGGCGACUGAGAAUGGAGCCAGCCUAUGACAGCUGUCUGCACGUCGUCAUAGGCACAAAGAAAAUGCUACUUUUCAAGAAAUCGCUUGAAAUUGAUAAGACAUUAGUUAAAAAUUUUCCAGAUAUUAAUGCGAUGUUUUGACUGAAGAGAUCAUGGCACUAAACAUCUUCAUCAAGCUUAUCUUGGAAUUCGAGAUCUUUGCAAGAGGAUUAUGAAGAUUCAAAAGAACAAGCCGGUAGUUAGUAAUGCAUGCGAUUAAUACAAAGUCUGAAGUAUGAAAGAUCCUCAGAACUAAAAAGCCCAAGUACAAUCUUCGCACGAAACAGGAGUAUGUAUGAGGAUAUGUAUAAUUUUCGACGGUCAAUACAUCUUUGAAAUGUUUGCUUACAUUUUAAGUAUUGAAACAUUGAAUUUACGCAAUUCUAGGGAAUUUUUUGAAAUAAGCAAAAACAAGAACUUCAUCCUUGAAAUCAAAAUCGGUAACGUUUAUUUUUAUUUUGAUAUGAAGAACACUACUUUUAGAAAGCAAUUUCUUAAAGUACAUAAUUCUAGUAUAUCUAAUGUUUCCGUGUGACAAGAAUCUUGACAGUCGCACUUGAACUAUUGGUCUCGAUUUUUCUCAUACUUAAUUUCUAUUAGUUGGUCUAAAGAUGCUAAAUAUUUUAUUAAAAGUUUUGGUAUUUUAGAGAACCUUCAUAAUCAUAAAAUUUGUACAACGUAUAACAUGUGUAUGUACAUUUGGUCAAUGUAUAUCAAUGAGACUCUUGACGAGAGAAACGUUUCUAU